GAGUGCGCAGUCUUCUGUAGCCAUACAGGGAUCGGGCGCACGGCGCACGGGUGCGUAACACGUGGGUAACNUGCCCUCCAAAGGGGGAUACCCCGCCGAAAGGCGGGCUAAUACCGCAUGACAUUCCGGUGGCUUCGGCCGCCGGAAUCAAAGCCCGCAAGGGCGUUGGAGGAGGGGCCCGCGGCCGAUUAGCUUGUUGGCGAGGUAACGGCUCACCAAGGCUUUGAUCGGUAGCCGGUCUGAGAGGAUGGCCGGCCACACUGGAACUGAGACACGGUCCAGACUCCUACGGGAGGCAGCAGUGGGGAAUCUUGCGCAAUGGGCGAAAGCCUGACGCAGCGACGCCGCGUGGGGGAUGAAGCUUCUCGGAGUGUAAACCCCUUUCGACCGGGACGAAACGCCCGCAAGGGUUUGACGGUACCGGUAUAAGAAGCCCCGGCUAACUACGUG
This 450-nucleotide ribosomal RNA is filed under the name uncultured bacterium. RNAcentral describes it as "bacterial SSU rRNA". It matches the Rfam family "Bacterial small subunit ribosomal RNA", at positions 64 to 507 of the family's 1533-position model. The record is from RNAcentral.